Molecule: microRNA precursor, 78 nt
Filed under: Schistosoma margrebowiei
Lineage: Eukaryota; Metazoa; Platyhelminthes; Trematoda; Strigeidida; Schistosomatidae
Description: mir-3492 microRNA precursor family
Rfam family: mir-3492 microRNA precursor family
Source: Rfam by way of RNAcentral
AGUCUUCUGUAACCACGUCGAUAUUUCAUCACACACUAUGCCACAAAGGCUGAUGAUACUCCUAAGAUAAGUGAAGCA